CACGUAGGCACCAAGCGUUGUCCGGAUUUACUGGGCGUAAAGGAUGCGUAGGCGGACAUUUAAGUCAGAUGUGAAAUACCCGAGCUUAACUUGGGUGCUGCAUUUGAAACUGGGUGUCUAGAGUGCAGGAGAGGUAAGUGGAAUUCCUAGUGUAGCGGUGAAAUGCGUAGAGAUUAGGAAGAACACCAGUGGCGAAGGCGACUUACUGGACUGUAACUGACGCUGAGGCAUGAAAGCGUGGGGAGCAAACAGG
Molecule: ribosomal RNA, 253 nt
Filed under: uncultured bacterium
Lineage: Bacteria
Description: partial 16S ribosomal RNA
Rfam family: Bacterial small subunit ribosomal RNA
Source: RNAcentral